UACAGAGGGUGCAAGCGUUGUUCGGAAUUAUUGGGCGUAAAGAGCGUGUAGGCGGCCAGGUAGGUCUGCUGUGAAAACUCGAGGCUCAACCUCGAGACGUCGGCGGAAACCAUCUGGCUAGAGUCCGGAAGAGGAGAGUGGAAUUCCUGGUGUAGCGGUGAAAUGCGCAGAUAUCAGGAAGAACACCCGUGGCGAAGGCGGCUCUCUGGGACGGUACUGACGCUGAGGAGCGAAAGCGUGGGGAGCGAACAGG
This 253-nucleotide ribosomal RNA is filed under the name uncultured bacterium. RNAcentral's name for it is "partial 16S ribosomal RNA". It matches the Rfam family "Bacterial small subunit ribosomal RNA", at positions 524 to 776 of the family's 1533-position model. The record is from RNAcentral.